CAGAUGCUGAUCCCAUAGUUGGUGUGGUUUACCUAGAUUUCAGCAAAAUAUUUUAGGAAGUCUCUCAUGCUAUUAUUAUUCUUGUGAACAAGAUAGAUAAAAGCGUGCUAGAGGAUAUUAUAGUUAGUUGGAUUCUGAAUGGUUGAAUUGCUGCAAACAAGGAGUAGUUGUAUUAUUAUUCACUUGAAAAGAGGUAUCUAGUAGAGGGCCUUAGGGAUCUCUCAUUGACCCUGAACUGUUUAGUAAUGACCUAGAUAAAGAUAUAGAUGGCUUCUUUAUUGAAUUUUCAGACAAUGCUAAGCCAGUCCUGACUUAUCUGACUGAUAGGAGACAAAAAGAUUUUGACAGGAUAGAUUGUUACCUGAGUCUAUCAUGAUGAAAGGUAAUGGGAGUAAGAGUAAAAUUUUAUACUUGGAUUCAAAAGUUUCAACAUGGCAACCAUUAUGAUUAUUAUGGUUACAUUAUUAGAGGCAGAGUGUCUUGGACAAGGGAGACUAUAGUCUUGCUCUAUAAUCUAUCCUAAGAGACCACAUCUGGAGUAUUGCAUUCAGUUCUAGAUAAACUGGCAGAUGUCCCAAGGAGAGUGGUCAGGAUGGUGAAUGGGUUCCAAUUCAUACCCUAUAAAGAUCAGUUGUAGAAACUGGGACUAUUUAGUCUGGAGCAAGAUGAUUGACAAGGUACAUGAUAGCUGUCUUCAAGCAUUUAAAGGAUUCUCAUGGCUAGGAAGAAAAUAUAUAUGGAGAGAGGAAGUGAUCCUUCAUUUAUCAUCACUGUCAGAAGGAGAUGCCCAAGCUUUUUGACUUUUCUGGUCUUUUUCCACUUGACUGGCAUUUUUCUUCCAUCAUGGAAACCAAUGGCAAACUAAUUCUUCUUUGCUUCAGUAUUCUUCAAAAAAAAAAAAAAGAAAACUCUUGCCUUCCAUUUUAGAAUCAAGUAUAUUGGUUCCAAGGCAGAAGAGUGGUAAGGGCUAGGAAAUGGGAGUUAAGUGACCUGCCCAGGGUCACACAGAUAGGAAGUGUCUGAGGCAGAUUUCAACCCAUCUCUAGGUAUUAAUCUCAAUCCACCAAACCACAGAGUUGCCCCUUGCUUCACUAUUCUUGAGGGUCAAAUAACUCCUAAGAUCCUUUGCUUUCAAUUAUUUUGAUACUAUUGUUAUUGUUGUCUUAGUGGAAAGACCACUGAAGCUAAAAUCAGAAAAGCUGUCUUUCUAGUCUUGACUUUAGCGCAAUG
Molecule: long non-coding RNA, 1230 nt
Filed under: Monodelphis domestica (gray short-tailed opossum)
Lineage: Eukaryota; Metazoa; Chordata; Mammalia; Didelphimorphia; Didelphidae
Description: lncRNA (ENSMODG00000038296.1)
Source: RNAcentral